AACGCGAAGAACCUUACCUGGGCUCGAAAUGCUGUGGACCAGCUUAUGAAAGUAGGCCUUCCCGCAAGAGACCGGAGUCGAGGUGCUGCAUGGCUGUCGUCAGCUCGUGUCGUGAGAUGUUGGGUUAAGUCCCGCAACGAGCGCAACCCUUGUCCUGUGUUGCCACUCCCGUAAGGGAAGCACUCUCAGGAGACCGCCAGCGAUAAGUUGGAGGAAGGUGGGGAUGAUGUCAAGUCAUCAUGGCCUUUAUGUCCAGGGCUACACACGUGCUACAAUGGACGGUACAAAGCGCUGCAAACCCGCGAGGGGGAGCCAAUCGCAAAAAACCGUUCUCAGUUCGGAUCGCAGGCUGCAACUCGCCUGCGUGAAGCUGGAAUCGCUAGUAAUGGCGUAUCAGAACGAUGCCGUGAAUACGUUCCCGGGCCUUGUACACACCGCUAGUC
This 443-nucleotide ribosomal RNA is filed under the name uncultured bacterium. Its description in RNAcentral is "bacterial SSU rRNA". It matches the Rfam family "Bacterial small subunit ribosomal RNA", at positions 958 to 1398 of the family's 1533-position model. The record is from RNAcentral.